RNAcentral lists this ribosomal RNA (253 nucleotides) under uncultured bacterium. RNAcentral's name for it is "partial 16S ribosomal RNA". It matches the Rfam family "Bacterial small subunit ribosomal RNA", at positions 524 to 776 of the family's 1533-position model. The record is from RNAcentral.
UACGUAGGGUGCGAGCGUUGUCCGGAAUUACUGGGCGUAAAGAGCUCGUAGGUGGUUUGUCGCGUUGUUCGUGAAAACUCACAGCUUAACUGUGGGCGUGCGGGCGAUACGGGCAGACUGGAGUACUGCAGGGGAGACUGGAAUUCCUGGUGUAGCGGUGGAAUGCGCAGAUAUCAGGAGGAACACCGGUGGCGAAGGCGGGUCUCUGGGCCGAUAUUGACGCUGAGGAGCGAAAGCGUGGGGAGCGAACAGG